ACCAUAAAUGUAUAACGCCAUAUCCGCUAGGAUCGUAGCUUGCUAGCUUGCAGCGUCUAAGUACACGUGUUAUUGAAUUAUAUAAUUGCUUAGUUUUAUUUACAAGUGAUAAAAAAUAUUAAUACAUUAAGAAAAAAGUCUCUUGAACAUAAUAUAAAGAGCGGCAUAGAUCAUGGUGGGGUCACGUGUCUAUGUUGGUGGCCUACCCUUCGGAGUACGGGAAAGAGAUUUAGAAAAGUUCUUUAAAGGAUUUGGAAGAAUCAAAGACAUUCUCAUCAAGAACGGUUAUGGAUUUGUGGAAUUUGAAGAUUAUAGAGACGCAGAUGAUGCUGUCUAUGAAUUAAAUGGGAAAGAAUUACUUGGAGAAAGGGUGGUGGUGGAGCCGGCGAGGGGCAUCGACCGCAGCGCGGACCGCUACCGCCGCGACCGCUACUACGAACGAGACCGCGGCCGGUCGCGAUACGAUGACUACAAUUACAGAUACGGCCCGCCGACGCGCACGGAGUAUCGACUUAUCGUCGAAAAUCUGUCUAGCCGCAUUAGCUGGCAGGUAAGAGACUGAGCAGAAUGGAAAGUCCAUCAUCAUCCCAUCACAAUCACUCAGGGUUUGGAGCUACACGGUCAUGAGGGCUGGGCGUACACUACCAGGGUCGUUGGUCACUUGUGUUCUAAGGAUGCGGCAAUAUCGAUACGAGAGGAACAACAAUAUGUGGUAACAACAACAAACAAGCAAUCAAGUAUAUGAAAGCCAUAACUGAAGAAGGCAUCACGCAUGAAGGGAUAACUCGGAUAUUUGGAUGACUUCAAGACGGGACAAUUGAGCAUGUAAGAAGACAAUUGACGUUUGUGAAUUCACGAUACCAAGGAAGACAUAAGGUGGCGUUUCGUGCCCUGAGCCCUUCCCCGAUGUAGCCCGUGUGAGAUGUGGUCUGAAGCGAUGUUAGGAGGGUAUCGGUCUGCGGCGCCCCAGGGGACGGUCGGGACGGUCUCGCGAUGACACCCUGUCCCGCUCCAGCCGACGGCCCGUCAAGGUAAAGUCGACAGGGGGGCACUACUGGAGCCGCUCUCGCUAUGUGCAAUCCCAUUUUAAUUCAUAUCUCACAUUUUUAUAUUAAGUUUAUGCUCCCAAUAGAAACCAGCUAUCAAAGUGGUCGAUGUUGUGGAAGCGAUCAUAUUUUUUUAUAUUUCUUUUAUUUUGGUGCCUAAACAGUUUUUCGUGGCCGGUGCUACCUGUAUGGUGUCAUUGCUUAUUGGAAUGGUCUUGGAGAUUACUUGAGUCACUGCGUGGUGGUUAUUUGUGACAGUACCCACUCGAAUUACUCACUAAGACGUGGACAAGUGGCGGAUUAUACAAAUGAACUAAAGAAAUUUUAUUUGAAGUUUCGGAAAAGAAUGCAAAUGCAACCUGUUAUUCGAAUUCAUAGAGGAUAUUGAUUGAUGGCAUUACGAAAUCGAUACUAAAACAUGCAAAUCACGAUGACGAUGCACCGGAAAGGAGGAUUUCAAAUCUGCUGCAUUUAACAAAACAAGUAAAAUAUGAGACAAUAGCAAUAAAAAUGAGGAAUUACAUUGGAAAAGUAAGGAGAAACGCGCGGGAAAAAGGAGUUGAUUAGAUUGCGAUGAGCAUUUGUACAGAUGUGGAAUAUGGAAACUAAUCUCGGAAUCGGUUUUUCUAAUUUGCUUCAACAAUUGCAAAGAUUGAUGUUUACAAAGACGUCUAUUGAGCAACCUUUACGUGACAUGGUACAGGAGCAACCCUUUCGUGACAUGGUGCAGGAGCAAACCCCUACGUGACAUGGUGCAGGAGCAACCCUUACGUGACAUGGUGCAGGAGCAGCUGCCGUCCCUUACUGUGCUAACUGUUUUAUAUAAGAAAUGAUAACCAGUCGGUUGACCGUCUACGAAAUAUCUGUAUAGGCACAAUUCAUGUUUAUUUUUUUUUGUUUGAGAGGUCUUAUUCAUUCGGUAGCACAUACAUUAUAAAUAUUCUAAGGGUGUUCACCACACCUUUCCUAUAUUCGCCAUUUACAUGAUGAUAUCGUAUUUUUUACCAUCUUUCGGGGCUGAAUACCUUGAUGAUAACUUUAUAUCUGACGAAGGCUUCUAGGAAAGGUUUUUUUGUAAGCUCUUAACAAUCAAGACUCACGAGCUUUGUUGGUUUACAGGACUUGAAGGAUUAUAUGCGCCAAGCCGGCGAAGUAACUUAUGCUGAUGCUCACAAGCAACAC
RNA transcript from Vanessa atalanta (red admiral), 2228 nucleotides. It is a transcript of the gene named serine-arginine protein 55, with no coding region annotated. The record is from RefSeq and is a predicted model, not a curated record. The transcript has 6 exons. Lineage: Eukaryota; Metazoa; Arthropoda; Insecta; Lepidoptera; Nymphalidae.